UACGUAGGUGACAAGCGUUGUCCGGAUUUACUGGGCGUAAAGAGCGCGCAGGCGGUCGAUCAAGUCGAGUGUGAAAGCCCCCGGCUCAACAGGGGAGGGUCAUUCGAUACUGAUCGACUCGAAGGCAGGAGAGGGUAGUGGAAUUCCCGGUGUAGUGGUGAAAUGCGUAGAUAUCGGGAGGAACACCAGUGGCGAAGGCGACUACCUGGCCUGUUCUUGACGCUGAGGCGCGAAAGCUAGGGGAGCAAACGGG
RNAcentral lists this ribosomal RNA (253 nucleotides) under uncultured bacterium. RNAcentral's name for it is "partial 16S ribosomal RNA". It matches the Rfam family "Bacterial small subunit ribosomal RNA", at positions 524 to 776 of the family's 1533-position model. The record is from RNAcentral.